CCCGGUUGAUCCUGCCGGAUGAAUAGGCUCGUCUCAAAGAUUAAGCCAUGCAUGUCUAAGUUCAGCCGUAAGGCGAAACUGCGAACGGCUCAUUAUAUCAGUUAUAGUUUACUUGAGAGUAUUACUACAUGGAUAACCGUAGCAAUUCUAGAGCUAAUACAUGCGAAAACUCCUGACCGUAGGGAUGGACGUAUUUAUUAGAUUGUACCUUCACUGAAGGUGAGUCAUAAUAACUGAACGGAUCGUGUAACGAUGAUUCAUUCAAGUUUCUGCGGCAUCAGCUGUCGACGGGAGUGUAUUGGACUCCCGUGGCUGUAACGCCUAACGGAGAAUUAGGGUUCGACUCCGGAGAGGGAGCCUGAGAAACGGCUACCACUUCCAAGGAAGGCAGCAGGCGCGAAAAUUACUCAAUCCUAACCCAGGGAAGUAGUGACAAGCAAUACCGAUAGGGAUCCUUUUGGAUUCUUUGUUGGAAUGGGCGUAAUUUAAACCCCUACGUGAGUACCCACUGGAGGGCAAGUCUGGUGCCAGCAGCCGCGGUAAUUCCAGCUCCAGUAGCCUAUCCACAUGUUGUUGCAGUUAAAAAGCUCGUAGUUGAAUGUCUGGGAUUUGAGUCUGCCGCUCAGCGGCGACUCUGCCCGCCCCGCCGAAAGGCGCUUUUACUGUGAAAAAAUUAGAGUGUUCCAAGCAGGCCUAGCCUGAAUACCUUAGCAUGGAAUAAUAACAUAGGACUGUCUGUGAUGUUGUUGGUUUGCAUCCAGCGGUAAUGAUUAAUAGGGACGAUCGGGGGCAUUUCUAUUCAGCAGUCAGAGGUGAAAUUCUUGGAUUUGCUGAAGAGAAACUGCUGCGAAAGCGUCUGCCAAGGGCGUUUUCAUUAAUCAAGAACGAAAGUCAGGGGAGCGAAGAGGAUUAGAUACCCUCGUAGUCUUGACCAUAAACCAUGCCGACUCGGGAUUGGUGUUCGCCGCAGGGCACAUCAGCACCGUAUGUAAAAACAAAGUCUUUGGGUUCCGGGGGGAGUCUGGUCGCAAGGCUGAAACUUAAAGGAAUUGACGGAAGGGCACCACCAGGAGUGGAGCCUGCGGCUUAAUUUGACUCAACACGGGAAAACUUACCAGGUCCGGACGCAAUGAGGAUUGACAGAUUGAAAGCUCUUUCUUGAUUCUGUGGGUGGUGGUGCAUGGCCGUUCUUAGUUGGUGGAGUGAUUUGUCUGGUUGAUUCCGAUAACGAACGAGACCCCCGCCUGCUAAUGUAGAUCAGGCUCAUCGAGUAUUGUAUCUUCUUAGAGGGACUAUCGAUGUCAAGUCGAUGGAAGUUGGGGGCAAUAACAGGUCUGUGAUGCCCUUAGACGUUCUGGGCCGCACGCGCGCUACACUGACUAGUCCAACGAGUGUUUGUACCUUUGCUGAUAGGCAUGGGCAAUCUCUGAACACUAGUCGUGAUAGGGAUCGAUUUUUGGAAUUAUUAAUCGUCAACGAGGAAUUCCUAGUAAACGCGAGUCAUCAGCUCGCAUUGAUUACGUCCCUGCCCUUUGUACACACCGCCCGUCGCACCUACCGAUUGAAUGGUCCGGUGAAGCCUCCGGAUUGGACGUUCUGGCCCUGCCAGGCGGCCGAGAAGUUGGCUAAAUCUUACCAUUUAGAGGAAGGUGAAGUCGUAACAAGGUUUCCGUAGGUGAACCUGCGGAAG
Molecule: ribosomal RNA, 1690 nt
Filed under: Saccharina japonica
Lineage: Eukaryota; Phaeophyceae; Laminariales; Laminariaceae
Description: SSU rRNA
Rfam family: Eukaryotic small subunit ribosomal RNA
Source: RNAcentral